AUACGUAGGUGGCAAGCGUUGUCCGGAAUUAUUGGGCGUAAAGCGCGCGCAGGUGGUUCCUUAAGUCUGAUGUGAAAGCCCCCGGCUCAACCGGGGAGGGUCAUUGGAAACUGGGGAACUUGAGUGCAGAAGAGGAUAGUGGAAUUCCAAGUGUAGCGGUGAAAUGCGUAGAGAUUUGGGGGAACACCAGUGGCGAAGGCGAGUGUCUGGGCUGUAACUGACACUGAGGCGCGAAAGCGUGGGGAGCAAACAGGAUUAGAUACCCUGGUAGUCCACGCCGUAAACGAUGAGUGCUAAGUGUUGGGGGGUUUCCGCCCCUCAGUGCUGCAGCUAACGCAUUAAGCACUCCGCCUGGGGAGUACGGUCGCAAGACUGAAACUCAAAUGAAUUGACGGGG
Molecule: ribosomal RNA, 397 nt
Filed under: uncultured bacterium
Lineage: Bacteria
Description: partial 16S ribosomal RNA
Rfam family: Bacterial small subunit ribosomal RNA
Source: RNAcentral